AGAGUUUGAUCAUGGCUCAGAUUGAACGCUGGCGGCAGGCCUAACACAUGCAAGUCGAACGGAAACGAUGGGUGCUUGCACCCAGGCGUCGAGUGGCGGACGGGUGCGUAACGCGUAGGAAUCUACCCAAUAGAGGGGGAUAACUCGAGGAAACUCGAGCUAAUACCGCAUAAUCCCUACGGGGGAAAGAGGGCCACUCCUUGGAAGCUCUCACUAAUGGAUGAGCCUGCGUCGGAUUAGCUAGUUGGUAGGGUAAAAGCCUACCAAGGCGAUGAUCCGUAGCUGGUCUGAGAGGACGAUCAGCCACCCCUGGGACUGAGACAC
RNAcentral lists this ribosomal RNA (324 nucleotides) under uncultured bacterium. RNAcentral describes it as "bacterial SSU rRNA". It matches the Rfam family "Bacterial small subunit ribosomal RNA", at positions 8 to 327 of the family's 1533-position model. The record is from RNAcentral.